This 443-nucleotide ribosomal RNA is filed under the name uncultured bacterium. RNAcentral describes it as "bacterial SSU rRNA". It matches the Rfam family "Bacterial small subunit ribosomal RNA", at positions 338 to 795 of the family's 1533-position model. The record is from RNAcentral.
CCUACGGGAGGCAGCAGUGGGGAAUAUUGCACAAUGGGGGAAACCCUGAUGCAGCGACGCCGCGUGAGGGAAGAAGGCCUUCGGAUCGUAAGCCUCUAUCAGCAGGGAAGAAGAAAGUGACAGUACCUGACGAAGACGCCCCGGCUAACUACGUGACCGCAGCCGCGGAAAUACGUAGGGGGCAAGUGUUAUCCGGAAUCACGGGGUGGAAAGGGCGCGUAGGGGGGAGUGCAAGUCAGAUGUGAAAGGCCGGGGGUCAACCCUGUGACUGCAUUUGAAACUGUCUUGCUUGAGUGCAGGAGAGGAGAGCGGAAUUCCUAGUGUAGCGGUGAGAUGCGUAGAUAUUAGGAAGAACACCAGUGGCGAAGGCGGCUUUCUGGACUGUAACUGACGCUGAGGCACGAAAGCGUGGGGAGCGAACAGGAUUAGAUACCCUGGUAGUC